This 250-nucleotide ribosomal RNA is filed under the name uncultured bacterium. RNAcentral describes it as "partial 16S ribosomal RNA". It matches the Rfam family "Bacterial small subunit ribosomal RNA", at positions 355 to 619 of the family's 1533-position model. The record is from RNAcentral.
UGGGGAAUAUUGGGCAAUGGGCGCAAGCCUGACCCAGCAACGCCGCGUGAGGGAAGAAGGUUUUCGGAUUGUAAACCUCUGUCGCAGGGGACGAAGGAAGUGACGGUACCCUGUAAGAAAGCCCCGGCUAACUACGUGCCAGCAGCCGCGGUAAUACGUAGGGGGCGAGCGUUGUCCGGAAUUACUGGGCGUAAAGGGAGCGUAGGCGGUCGAUUAAGUUAGAUGUGAAACCCCCGGGCUUAACUUGGGG